ACUCCUCCCGCGGCUCCGCCGGGCGCCCGAGCCGGGCAGAUGCGCCGCCGCGCGCCCCCCGCUCCGGGCCCGCCACCGUGCUCUGCCGCGCGCCGGGGGCUCCUCUCCCGGGCCCCCCUGGGCGCCCUCCGGCUCUGGUUCCCGCCCGCUCCUUGGAAUAACCCCUGAGGCUCCAGCCGUCACCGCAAAGUUUCCCGAGGAGACCCGCCUCCCCGGCCGCUGCGCAGGUGAGGGCGUGUGGCUGAAGCCUGUUCCUGCUUGGGGGUUGGCCACACAGCAUCCCAACUCCAGGUCCAGAGCCGAGCCUGACAGCCCUCCUCCACUGCCUCCUGGAGCUGCCGGAGAGAGGUCCGGGUCCGUUCUCCCCAAUUCACAGACAUGAAGACUGAGGCCGUGGUUCCAGUGGCUGCUCGGUGGUGGGGCUGGAGCUUGGCAGCAUCCUGCAGCCCUCUGGACUCCCGGCUCUCGAGUGCCGCGUUCUACCUGCUGUGUUCUAAAUGGACAUGCCAUCCCCACAGCUGUGUCAAUAAAGCAGCCAUUUACAGAGCGGGCGCCGGAUCCCGUGACAGGUUGAAAAGUGUGUGAGCUGCAGCGUCCUGGGCUGGGGCAGAGGGGCCGUGGCGAGAACAGAUGGGGCUGUGCCCAUCUCCCCAGGCCCUCCUGUGGCUGCGCCUGGAGCCUCCCGGGAGGGAGGCCAGAGCCAGGAGCAGGC
This 712-nucleotide long non-coding RNA is filed under the name Homo sapiens (human). Its description in RNAcentral is "HSALNT0363158". The record is from RNAcentral. Lineage: Eukaryota; Metazoa; Chordata; Mammalia; Primates; Hominidae.